This 106-nucleotide small nuclear RNA is filed under the name Zalophus californianus (California sea lion). The record is from RNAcentral. Lineage: Eukaryota; Metazoa; Chordata; Mammalia; Carnivora; Otariidae.
GUGCUCACUUCGGCAGCACAUAUACUAAAUUGGAAUGAUACGGAGAAGAUUAGCAUAGCCCCUGUGCAAGAAUCACACACAAAUUCGUGAAGCAUUCUAUAUUCUU